Molecule: long non-coding RNA, 817 nt
Filed under: Elaeis guineensis (African oil palm)
Lineage: Eukaryota; Viridiplantae; Streptophyta; Magnoliopsida; Arecales; Arecaceae
Description: long non-coding RNA (EGUI_LNC032132)
Source: RNAcentral
GUGCAUCUGCACCUGCUUCUCGAUCGAUCUCAUGAGCUAGAUUCUGCAAUAAAUCAUCCAAGAUAGAAAAGUCCUUAUGCUGGGGGUUCCUUAUUGGUGAACUCUCUGAUGCCUAAAUCAAUUUCCUAUGGACGUAAAUAGAAGAAGUUUGAGCUUUUAGGAAGAAAGUAGUGAGGUGUGGAGUAGAGUGUGAGGUGGGAUGGAGAUGAGUUGGUGGAAUAGAGUACGAAGAUCCGGUGGAUGUUGUAUGGAGUAGGGAAGUAUUCCCAUGGAGUUAGAUUUCACUUAGAGUUCUAAAGAAGAGAGGGAUCCCGCUUGUAUGAAAUUAGUCUCCGAAAGAGGGCAUAUGAAGUAACUCUUCACUUAUCUAGAGGAUCUCGAAAAGUUUAGAUUUUAUAAACGAAGAUGGAUACCUAUCAUCUGGGAGGAUGCAUGUCAUUUUCUCUCUCGAGGGCCACGGAGGCACGUUCAAGUUGACAAGGGAUAAUAACUUACAUAUUAUGGAGUUUGUUGAGAUUACGAAUCUUGAUAAGUGGAGGAGCGGAGCGGACGAGCAACCUUCAUUUAUCAUCCAGCAAGUAGAAGGUUUUGAAACUUUUUCGACACGAUCAUGGAAGUAUGGGCAACAGCUACUCAACGACAAUGCUGAUACUGCUUAACAGGGACACGUGAAGGGCUACCAUUGGAUUGCCAGCACCAUGGUAGAUAGAGUAUUUCGAAUGUAUCAGUAUGAAUGGGGCUUAAGGUCACAAUAUGUUGUACUGAACUCAAUAUUAAUGAUGGUGUUAAGUUUCCUUCUGCUAACCUUCUUCAUUCC